Manacus vitellinus (golden-collared manakin) is the source of this 454-nucleotide long non-coding RNA. RefSeq lists it as uncharacterized. The record is from RefSeq and is a predicted model, not a curated record. Lineage: Eukaryota; Metazoa; Chordata; Aves; Passeriformes; Pipridae. The transcript is spliced from 2 exons.
GCAAUGGGUGACAGAUGUGGCAUUUAAGGGGUGGUUGGAGGUAAAGGCAGAUGAUCAGAUCCUUCAGGGCUGGCAGCAUGGGAGAAUUUUACUGUGUCCUGUGAUCGUAGGAGUCCAUCUGCCCCUGGGAAAGAGGAGACUAUAGAAUUUCAAAGGUCGUUUUUCCUGGGAAACUGGCAUAUAACAGCAUAACUCUCUGUUCAGGUAUGGCAUCAGGAACAGGGAUGAGGUCAGCUUCAUAAAGAAGCUUCGGAAGUGACCUGUUGGAGAGAGAGCAGACAAACCAGCCCUACCAAGACCAGACUGUGGAUUCAGCACUUUCCUGGAGGAAAAGGUUUAAUACUCUGAAGAGGAGCAAACUCUGUUGACUGGACAUUCUCACAUGUUUUUUGUGGUUGUUGUUUGUACGUGGAACACAAUUCCAGGGAUUAAAGAGACCCUCUAGUUUUCUGAA